Molecule: long non-coding RNA, 878 nt
Filed under: Triticum aestivum (bread wheat)
Lineage: Eukaryota; Viridiplantae; Streptophyta; Magnoliopsida; Poales; Poaceae
Description: long non-coding RNA (TAES_LNC026426)
Source: RNAcentral
AUGUGACUUCUGUGUUAGUAUACUAGCCAUGAUGUGUUUUAUUCAAGUUAUUAACCUACAAAUUUGGCUUGAGAUGCUACAUGUUUAUAUGGCACGAUUGAUUGUUGUUUGCGUAUGGUUAUUAAGAUUGAUUGAUUGAUUGAUUGCUGUUUGUUGAUUGACUGAUUGGUGUUUGCUGUUUGUUGAUUGAUUGCUUGAUUGCUUGUUGUUUGUUGAUUGGUAUCAAACUUUGGUAUUCGUAGUUCUUGAUCUUAGGUAACAGACCUUGCACUAUUCUUUUUUCUGAACUUUUUUGUGAUUAUGCAAUGCUUUUCUAAGUAUUUAAGGUACAAACAUCUUGAUCUGGACACAUCACAUUUGCUCUUUAUUGUGUUGCUAAGGACACUGAUGGGUUGAGUUGCAUAUAGUGCAGGUAUAUUUACAUUCUUUACAUUUUGUGAUGCUGAUGCCUCUAGUCCCAAAGUGUUUAUUUACCCAAAUUUUGCUACUGGAACUUUUGGUUUUAGAUAUUGGCACCUGAUAUUUGAAUGGAUGUUUUCAUGAUGCCUAAUUUGAUUCAUUAUCAUUGUUCUGAUGGUGUGCUACUGGUGUUUUAACUGAAGCUGUGGAUCGCUCAUCAACCUGGUAUGUGUUUCGAUGAUAACCCAUCUUGAAUUUUACUCGUUUCUAUAUUUUACACAAAUGUUUAUCUCAUGGCUGGUAAUGGUAACCUUAUGAAUGCAUAGCCCACAUUUUAGCUAGUUAUAUAGUAAUGCCAUACUUGCUUGGAUGAUGUUCUGUAUAUGCAAGUGUGGUGAGCUCACAUAUUCUGUCGGCAUCUAUCUAUGCAGCUGAGCUCUUUCUGGAUAGGACAGAGGUACAAUAUUUACAUCCAUGGC